GCAGAAUCUUCUAUUGGUGCUUCAACUUGAACAGCAGAAUCUUCUUUGGGAGGUUCAUAUGUCAAGGACACAUAAGCAUCUGUCUCUUUGUCUUUACUAGAAUAGUCAAUUGGUGCUUCAUUCUGAAUAGUUGCAUCGUCUUUCUCUUCAACUGUAGGAGGUUCAUAUGUCAAAGAUGCAUAAGAAUCUGUUUCUUUGUCUUCUCUAGUAUCUUCGAUUGGUGCUUCAUCCUGAAUAACUCCAUCAUCUUUCUCUUCAACUUUAGGAGAUUCAUAUAUCAAAGCUGCAUAAGCAUCCGUCUCUUUAUCAUUCCCAGAAUCUUCUAUCGGUGCUUCAGCCUGAACAGCUCCAUCAUCUUUCUCUUCAACCGUAGG
RNAcentral lists this unclassified non-coding RNA (374 nucleotides) under Hevea brasiliensis (rubber tree). Lineage: Eukaryota; Viridiplantae; Streptophyta; Magnoliopsida; Malpighiales; Euphorbiaceae. The record is from RNAcentral.